AAUAGAUACCCUGGUAGUCCACGCCAUAAACGAUGAGUGCUAAGUGUUAGGGGUUUCCGCCCUUAGUGCUGCAGCUAACGCAUUAAGCACUCCGCCUGGGGAGUACGGUCGCAAGACUGAAACUCAAAGGAAUUGACGGGGGCCCGCACAAGCGGUGGAGCAUGUGGUUUAAUUCGAAGCAACGCGAAGAACCUUACCAGGUCUUGACAUCCCACUGACCGCUAUGGAGACAUAGUUUUCCCUUCGGGGACAGUGGUGACAGGUGGUGCAUGGUUGUCGUCAGCUCGUGUCGUGAGAUGUUGGGUUAAGUCCCGCAACGAGCGCAACCCUUGAUCUUAGUUGCCAUCAUUUAGUUGGGCACUCUAAGGUGACUGCCGGUGACAAACCGGAGGAAGGUGGGGAUGACGUCAAAUCAUCAUGCCCCUUAUGACCUGGGCUACACACGUGCUACAAUGGACGGUACAAACGGUUGCCAACCCGCGAGGGGGAGCUAAUCCGAUAAAACCGUUCUCAGUUCGGAUUGUAGGCUGCAACUCGCCUA
This 541-nucleotide ribosomal RNA is filed under the name uncultured bacterium. RNAcentral describes it as "bacterial SSU rRNA". It matches the Rfam family "Bacterial small subunit ribosomal RNA", at positions 777 to 1318 of the family's 1533-position model. The record is from RNAcentral.